Molecule: ribosomal RNA, 689 nt
Filed under: uncultured organism
Description: bacterial SSU rRNA
Rfam family: Bacterial small subunit ribosomal RNA
Source: RNAcentral
UACCUUGUAGUGGGGAAUAGCCUUUCGAAAGAGAGGGUAAUACCGCAUGUUUCCAAAUUUAUUUGGAAAAAGACUUCGGUCGCUAUAAGAGGAGCCCGCGUCCUAUCAGGUAGUUGGUGGGGUAAUAGCCUACCAAGCCAAUGACGGGUAGCCGGUGUGAGAGCACGACCGGCCACAAGGUCACUGAAACACGGGGCCUACACCUACGGGUGGCAGCAACCGGGAAUAUUGCGCAAUGGGCGAAAGCCUGACGCAGCGACACCGCGUGUGGGAAGAAGCUUUUCGGAGUGUAAACCACUGUGGCAAGGGAAGAAUUUUUGACGGUACCUUGCUAGAAAGCACCUGCUAACUACGUGCCAGAAGCCUCGGUAAUACGUAGGGUGCAAGCGUUAUCCGGAUUUAUUGGGCGUAAAGAGUUCCGCAGGCGUCUUUACAAGUUUCUUGUUUAAGCCUGAGGCUCAACUUCAGAAAAGCAAGAAAAACUGUAAAGAUUGAGUUUGUUUGGGGAAGCUGGAAUUCUCGGUGGAGGGGUGAAAUCCGUAGAUAUCGAGAGGAACACCAAUCGCGAAGGCAAGCUUCUAAAACAAUACUGACGCUAAGGGACGAAAGCUUGGGUAGCAAAAGGGAUUAGAGACCCCUGUAGUCCAAGCCGUAAACUUUCCUCGCUAGUUGCCUGGUUAAUAAUGCAU